Molecule: ribosomal RNA, 406 nt
Filed under: uncultured bacterium
Lineage: Bacteria
Description: partial 16S ribosomal RNA
Rfam family: Bacterial small subunit ribosomal RNA
Source: RNAcentral
AUUGAACGCUGGCGGCAGGACUAACACAUGCAAGUCGAACGAGUGGCGGACGGGUGAGUAAUGUCUGGGAAACUGCCCGAUGGAGGGGGAUAACUCCUGGAAACGGUAGCUAAUACCGCAUACCAUCAGAUGUGCCCAGAUGGGAUUAGCUUGUAGGUGAGGUAACGGCUCACCUAGGCGACGAUCCCUAGCUGGUCUGAGAGGAGGACCAGACAAGCUGGAAAUGAGACACGUGCAAGACUACUACGGGAGGCAGCAGUGGGGAAUAUGGCACAAUGGGCGCAAGCGUUAUGCAGCCAUGCCGCGGUUAUGAAGAAGGCCUUCGUGUUGUAAAGUACUUUCAGCGGGGAGGCGUUACCCGCAGAAGAAGCACCGGCUAACUCCGUGCCAGCAGCGGCGGUAAUUC